Canis lupus familiaris (dog) is the source of this 4579-nucleotide long non-coding RNA. RefSeq lists it as uncharacterized. NCBI's taxonomy places the organism in Eukaryota, Metazoa, Chordata, Mammalia, Carnivora, Canidae. The transcript is spliced from 4 exons. The record is from RefSeq and is a predicted model, not a curated record.
AGCCACCCGCCUGGACGGUGCCUGGUGCAGUCCUUCCUGGGAAACAUGCAUUUUCACAGCAGCCUGAAGGAGACGGCCACACGGUGCCUUGGAGCCCAUUAAGGUCUACUGUGGCAAGUUCAGGCCAAGAGGGAGCGUGGCAAACGGCGCACAGGGUACGGGGACCUCCAGGUGCUCCUCGUCAAUCCCGGAGCUCGGGUGUCGAGAUCAGAGGACGAAGGGCUCUCCAGCAAGGCCCACUCGGAAGAGCGCGGUGGGAGACGCUGCGAGGCGGGCCCGGUCCGGGCCUGACACAAAGGGGCUGGAAGCUCCCUCCAAACAGUGUCAGCGAAGUAGGCAAAUUAUUGGCCUCAGAAGUGGAGUUCAAGGUGGAAACUUAAGGCAUCACCGGCCCUCGGGCCUCAGAGGGGGACACCUGCUACUCUCGCUGCCCCUCUGAGUCCUGCCUGUCUCCGUUUCGAUUCCCCUCCUGGCGCCCUCAAGACCCCGGGGAGCCCCGGGUUCACCUUCGAGUUCACUUUGUUCCAAAAACUGUCAUUGGACCAAGCUCAACUCACGUGCCCAUCCACGUGCACUGCCGCCAGCUGGGGCCCGGCUUCCUCCAACUGGCCAGGCCCGGGCCACGUGGCCACCCCGGGAGCCAGUAAGAGAGAGUGACUGGACCAGGUGGACCAGGACCAGGUGAGCAGGAUUGGAGCUGGGCAGGUGGGAGGCAGGGCGGCCCAGGACAGGGCCUCGUGCUUCUUCCUGCCCACCCUCCUAGGCAUCCUCCAGAGGCACUUGCCCUGCCCCAUCAGAGCCUUCAGUGGUCCCCGGGCCACCUGUCAGCCACCGGGACACAGAGAUGGGUCAGCCACCGCUCUGCCCACCCAACCCCCACCUCCAGCCUCCACCCCCCAGCCAGUCCUGAGAAAGGAGAGGAGCCUCCGCUGGAGGUGCCCGAGGGAGUACCAGUCAGAUUGCAACCAGGUGCUGGGGGAUGAGGAAGAGGGUGCCAAGCAGAGAAAAGAGGCGAGAUCGAUGCAGGAAGAGAGAAAGGCCAGGGCAAGAGCCGACGCCCGGAAGGGCACAGCUUAGGGAAGCGGAGCCCCACAAGCAAUAGUAAUAAUAGUCACAAGGGCUCGGGCUCCGGCUCCGGCUCCGGCUCAGGGGUGCUGCUUUAUCACCAUCAGCUUCACCACAUCCCCGUGAGACAGGUGCUGGGAAAUUAGUCCCUGGCACUUAGAAAGUCCCAUGUGAUGACAAUUGAGAGCCAUGGAUGAUUUCAGCAAGGGAGAUGAGAAUGAAGAAUCCAAGUAAAAGGAAAAAAAGCAGAGAUGGUCUAGAGCCACAGUGGUCUUCCACCAGCGGUGAUUUACCUUUCGGGGGACAUUUGGCAAUGCCUGGAGACAUUUUUGGUUAUCACAAUCGGGGGGAUGAGGAGGGCAACUGGCAUCUAGUGGAUAGAGGCCAGGAGUGGUGUUAAAUAUCCUGCAAUGCACAGGACAGUCCCCACCACAGAGAAUUACCCAGCCCAAUGUCAAUAGGUCUGAUGUGGAAAAAUCUGGGUUCGGGUUAAAUAUGGGAGCUGAUGCAGAACACAGUAUGUGUUGUUGAGAGGAGGCUGUGGAUAGGACAGGGGCCUUAGGGUGGCCCAAGUCUGGAAGAACCUCCACCCCCCCUACGGCACCACCUUCACCCUCCAACAAAUGGGCAUCCUCCCCUGCUGCUCUGCCCUGUGGUGGGGGGCCGUGGCACAGAAGGGGCUGGCUGGGAGAGACCUGUGUCACCCAGGGGUCUGCGGGCCCUGGCAGACGGUGGCCCACAGUGCCUCUCGCUCCAGCUGCAUGUCCGGCUCCCGAACCAUAGACCUGGCGUGUUCCUCGAGUGGGUGCAGGUGUCCUGUGUCGAUGUGCCACCUGCCACUGGGGAGCCCCAGCCUGGAAACGCCGAUGCCGUGCCACUCAACUUGCAGAUCACAAAGGCCAGUCCUCCGAGUGAGAAAUGUUGAUUUGUUUCAGUUACACGAGCACCGGGGAAAGCAGAGAGGAAAGUGAGCAAAAGAGACAGUGAGUCAAAAACCGUGAAGCCGACUGAGACAGAGACUAGAAGAGCCACCGAGAAAGAACAACACAGAGAGGCUGAGACUAAGCGAUGGAGCCCGAGAUGGAAGGAGACAACUUGAGAGCAGCGGGGAAACACACGCACAGAAAGCGGGAGACCCAAGCAGAGCCGCACGGACGGAGAUUAGCAAAAAAGAAAAAUAAAGAUCGAGAAAGAGCAAAAGAAAGAUUGAGGAGAAGACAAGACGGAGAGCGUGAGCCAGAGAAAUACUUUGCUUCCUCCCCAGCCCCACGGUCCAGAGCCCAGAAACUCUCCGUGGGUUUGCCAUAUUUGAGCCACGAAGCCGGGAAAUGGGGGGGGGCGGCUCCCUCCCUGCAGGUCCGGGACGAGCAAGCCUUGUUCGCAUUAUUGCUGGCAUCCCCUAACUGGACACCAGCCAACAGGAAAUUCCUGGGAGAAAUCUUUCCAUUCUGAGUCUUUUAAAACUUUUUACUUAUUUAUUUUAAUCUCCUUUUUUUUUUUUUCAAGGACCCAAAAGAGAGAAAAAAAAAAAAAAAAGUAAGAAGUUAAGAGGAAGAAAUGAUCCACCUGGUAUAAGAAAAACUUAUCCGGCAGCCGGCCCGGCCAGGCCAGGGGAAGCUCGGGCCGCAUUGUGUCCGCUGCGUCCAUUCUUCCUCUGGAAGGAUUUAUGACCUCACACUCCCAUGACAUCACAAUGCGUUGCCAUGGCCCCGGCUUUAUUAUCGUAAACAAAGAGCCGGUCCUUGGGACACUGGCUGGCUGAGCAGGAGGGGGGAGAAAGAAGGCUCUGUGUAAUGUGUUUUCUUGGGAAGGCAGCUUGUUCGGAAGUCUGAGAAGCUGCAAAAAUAGUUGUACGCACAGUUCCCUCUGUGUAGCCUCCGGACGAGGUUAGGACGAGGACAGAGGGAUGAGGUCAGCUCCCCGCUGGGGGACCCUCCGGCUCAGUGUGCUCUCACUGCCAAAGAGCCGCUUCCCUGGCUGCCCUCGCUGCCCCAAGAAGGAUCCUCAUUCAUUCCCCGGAAGGACGUUGGGCGCCCACUACGUGCCAGGCGCCCACAGAGCUGGAUUAUAGAUGGGGGAGACGCCCGGGCGCGGGCCCUGCGUCUCGCAGAACCUGCACAUCAAUCAACAGGAAUGUGUCAAAUUGUAAUUUGGAUGAAGGGUGCUGUUGGAAGCAAACAGGAAAUGGGGAUGAGAAGAAGGCGGGGAGGAAGCUACUUAGAUGAGCAAUCUAGGAGGGCCUCCCUGAGGAGGUGACGUUUUAGACAAGACCUGAAUGAAGGCCAGCCGUGAAGAGUUGAGGGCAGGUGACAGGCGUCGAGCAAGGACAGCCAAAGCCAGGCUGUGACUGGAGGGUUUGAAAAGAGGAGUCAUUUUUGCUGAAUCCGAGUUAGUAAGACUUCUGGACCCUGCCACAGCCAUGGCUGCAAACCCUCAUUUCCAGCUUGCAGGGAGCUCUGCACAACCGUCAGCCCGGCACUUGGUGAAAGCAAAUUAGCCAGGAGCAGAAACACCUGUAGGACCCGCGCUCCCCGGCCGAGUCAGUUGUGCAAGAAGCAGAUAAGGAAGCUGAGGCCAAGAGAAGUUGAAUAACGUGACCGAGGUCCCAGAACAAGAUCCCAAGCCUGACCUGCCUGACUUCCAACAAAGCCCAUGUUCUCAACCACUGAAGUUUGGCCCGUCGGGGUGCACAGCUGCAGCGGGGGUGGGGGUAGGGGUGGGGGUGGCAAUGGGGAGAGGGGAGGGCUGUCCCCCCUGAACGGAGCUAGGAAGGUGUGAAGUCUGCAGAGCUGUGAGAGCCAGCUUGCAAGCCUGCAAGAGCCCUGGUGUACCAGACACCCAUGGGACGGCAGGCAGGGGAGGACCCUCUGUAUGCUGAGCGACGCCCCAGAUGCUGGAGCCUGCUUUGCAUGUAGGACACACACUUCAGGCUUCUCCAGAGCAGGGUAAGCAAGGCUCGGUUCACACACUACUAACUCAACUGGGUCUGGCUGCUGAUAGGAAAAGCAUCCGGGGGAAAGGGGUGGACCAUUAGGCUGUGCAUCAGGCACCCCAGAUUUUAGAGAAGUGUCACGUUUAACCAAUGUCUAGCCCUUGGCUAAGCACUUUACUCAUCUUGCUUUAUCUAAUUCUCCCAUCGUGUGAUAUUGUAUCCCAUUUUACAGAUGUAGGGACUGAGGCCCAGAAACAUUCCAGUCCUGGUUCUGUGCCCCUGGGUAGAAAUAUGUCUCUGGGCCUUAUUUUCCUCUUAUAAGAAAUGAGAGGAUUGAUCUUAAUCAGGGGUUGAUAUAUUUUUCCUGUAAAGGGUGAGACUAGAAAUACUUUAGGCUUUGUGGAUCACAUCAUCUUUGUCGCAACUGCUCAGCUCUGCCACCAUAACAUAAAAGCAGCCAUAGAUAAUAAGUAAAUGACAAAUGAGCAUGACUGCGUUCCAAUAAAACUUUAUUUACAAAAUAUGAAAUGACAAGUGAGCGUGACUGUGUUCCAAUAAAACUUUACUUACAGGGAUGCCUGG